RNAcentral lists this ribosomal RNA (237 nucleotides) under uncultured Staphylococcus sp. RNAcentral's name for it is "partial 16S ribosomal RNA". It matches the Rfam family "Bacterial small subunit ribosomal RNA", at positions 103 to 334 of the family's 1533-position model. Lineage: Bacteria; Bacillati; Bacillota; Bacilli; Caryophanales; Staphylococcaceae. The record is from RNAcentral.
CGGGUGAGUAACACGUGGAUAACCUACCUAUAAGACUGGGAUAACUUCGGGAAACCGGAGCUAAUACCGGAUAAUAUUUUGAACCGCAUGGUUCAAAAGUGAAAGACGGUCUUGCUGUCACUUAUAGAUGGAUCCGCGCUGCAUUAGCUAGUUGGUAAGGUAACGGCUUACCAAGGCAACGAUGCGUAGCCGACCUGAGAGGGUGAUCGGCCACACUGGAACUGAGACACGGUCCAG